Cebus imitator (Panamanian white-faced capuchin) is the source of this 1599-nucleotide RNA transcript. It is a transcript of the gene named EF-hand calcium binding domain 2, with no coding region annotated. Lineage: Eukaryota; Metazoa; Chordata; Mammalia; Primates; Cebidae. The transcript has 10 exons. The record is from RefSeq and is a predicted model, not a curated record.
GGGCGGCCCCUCCUCCCGGCCAGGCUGGCCGCGGGGCGCUGAGCGGGCCGGGACCCCGCGGCCGAGGCUGUCGUUAGGCAUCGCCCCGGCGACCCGCUCCGCAGCAAGAUGGCGGACGAGAAGGACAGGGAAGAGACAGCAGUAGCAGAAUUUCACAAAAAAAUCAAAGAGGCAUUUGAAGUGUUUGACCAUGAGUCGAAUAAUACAGUGGAUGUGAGAGAGAUUGGAACAAUUAUCAGGUCAUUGGGAUGCUGCCCUAGCGAAGGAGAGCUGCACGAUCUGAUUGCAGAGGUCUUCACUCCGGGUUCUGAAGGCACUCCUCAUCUUCAUGUUCCUGCUGAUGCUAUUGAGAUAGUGCAAAUCCAUUCUGAUUCCCAGUCCUUUCUAGAGGAAGAAGAACCCACUGGAUACAUUCGAUUUGAAAAAUUUCUUCCGGUGAUGACAGAAAUACUACUAGAAAGAAGAUACAGACCAAUUCCAGAAGAUGUCCUUCUUCGAGCUUUUGAGGUUUUAGAUACAGCUAAACGUGGGUUUCUUACUAAGGACGAACUGAUCAAGUAUAUGACUGAGGAAGAAAGAUUGUCACCCGUGCAGUGUACCUGCCGUGGAAUGUUGUCCUGAAUACUGAGUGAGAGUGCUGAGUACUGCCGCGGUGUCGGGAAGUGCAGCUCCUGAAAGAACAGAAGAAGGUGACCUGUGCUCCUCUGAGUAAAGAGGUCACAUGGAGAAGCCUCUUACAAGCAAAGGGGAAGAGAAGGUCUGCACUCGUGGGCACUGAGUCAAGACCAUCGAGUGCACACGUGCGUGGGUCUGACGCCCGGUGAGUGGCGGGGACAGCAGCACCCCAGCCUCUGCCCCCACCUGCUGACCACAGGGUAAAGUGUCUGCUUGUAAAAGAAAAGUAUGGCUCCUUCUCCCCUCAACCCGGCCGAAUCUUCCACAAGUCAUUUGCAAAAUAUGGAAGCUGGAGAUGAUGUGUGUGACUGUCUCAGCCUCACCUCACAGGAGUUCCUACUGCUCUGCUGAUCUCGAGGUGCACGCAUCAUGCUUGAGACGCUCAUCUGUUCUCUGACAUCCUCCCUCAGUUGCCUUCUGUGUUACUGACAGGGGCAGAGGGGAGGAUGAAUAUCCACGGCUCCCUCAUUGCCUUCAUUUGGGUGACGGAAAGAUGUACAUGUUUUAGCAUCCCUUGUGGACAUGUGAGCUGCAGCAAGGCCUGAAGACUCUUCUGCCCACUGAGAGCAGGGGCGGUGGUGUGGGCGUGGCAGAGACAGAAGAGGCGGGAAGCUGGGCAUCCCACGGACUCUUGUAUUAGCACCACUUCCUGGUGAGCAUUCCCUGCCCAGGCCCCAAGCCUUGAAAUCAUCCUUGCCUCCCUUCUUUCUCCUUCUCCCUCCUCAUCCAAUGCGCCAAAUCCUACCUUCAAAAUACGACCUGCCAGCCUGGAUGAACCUUGAGGACUUGAUGUGAAUGGCAUAAGACAGUCCCCAAAGGACAAAGACUCUAUGGUUCCACUUAUCCGAAGUACCUAGGGGAGUCAGAUUCACAGAGACGGGAUUUAGAACGUGGGUGCCAGGGGCUCUGGGGAGGAGAAGAUGG